CUAUUUGGUUUUUUUUUGUUGAAAGAGCCAUACUAGUAGUUUCUGUCUGGACUAGCUUUCAGGGUAGGCAAAGUAAGCAUCCAGCUACCCUCACCGGAACUUAAAGGCAGUGAAAAAACAAAUUCACAAAUGUGAAAAAUGUAUUGCCAGCAAAUAAGAACUGCAUUUUGUUACCAUUAGCAAAUUGGCAGUUACUAUGGAAUUUGGAGCCAGAGAGCAGUAGAGGAUAGGCAGCACUUCCUCUCUGCAUGAGCCAUUUUUUACUUAGUUGGUUAGAAGUUCCUAGCAGAAAUGUAACUGGGCAGGGCUGUAGCCAAGCUGAUGGUGGCAGUGCAAUGUCUGGAAAAGCGGCAGUAGUGGUUGCUAUUUUUGAACACCAACCCCUAAGUCAUGGGCUGCGGCUGGUUUCCUGGUAGCCUCUUUCCUCCCUUAGUUAUACUACUGGUUCCUAUUUACCUUGUGUUUGUGUACAGAUUUGAUCAGGUAGUGGUCUUCAGUAAAAGUCAUGACCAAAACUAAAAGUGAUGCCAACAAUCUUACAAAAAUGGAAGUGCCCACAAAAGAGACCUUGAAGGAGAAGCCAACAGUGCAAAACAGUCAAGUACUUUUAAGGUAUUUGAAAUCACACAUUUGAUAUCUAGCUGGUGCAUUUCAUCAUGAAUGUUCAUUGCUGGUAUUCCUACUUCUGAAAAUAAACUUCUUACUAAAGAAGAGUUGUUUUUAAUCACUCAGACAGGUGAGAGAGGAGAAGAUGUUGCUAGCAUGGCCACCCCAUAUGUGGAUAUACCUUUGGGCAAUAAUAACCUGAUGGAACUGAGAGGUGUUCAAACAACCUGGAGGAAACUGAGUUCUGAGACUUUAAAGGGUCCUGUCAAAUGGUCAGUAAUCAAUGGCAGAGUUUAGCAUUUUUUUUUUUUUUUUUUUUUUGAAAACUGGGCUAAUGCAAAUACAUGGUAAGAAUUUUUCUUUGGAAAACUUAUUUUUACCAUUCAUUUUUCUUCAUGUUUCAUGCCAGCUUUCCCAUGGAGACUGCAUAAUAUGAAGUUUGCCUUCUCUACUGUUUCACCCAGAAUUGUUCGUUCCUCCUAAGUUGUUUCAGUCCAGAGGCUUUGUUUUAGCCCUGACUGGCAUUUAAGAUGGGAUGAAAAACAUGUAAGAAAAAGAUGAGAAACUGGCAGAUCAUAUGAACAUCCAUCAUAUGUGGAGAGACUUAGAAAUUAGACUGAGGCAAAAUCAAAUGACUGAUAAAGAAAACCAGCAGCAAAUUAAUUCCUUUCAACAUUGAUCAGCUAUUUUGGAAGGACUGCUUUCUUUCAUCAGGCUGCAGGGAAUAGAAAACAUUUUCCAGCAAGGUUCAAAGGACAAGUGUAUUCAUCCCACAGUAGGAAACUUUGGAAUUUGUGGACUUUCUUGGAAAACAUGACUUUGUGAUGAAAGGACAUAAUUGUCUUAAAGAAAACUUAUGAUCAUUACCUGGGUAAAAAUAUUCAAACUAAAUUAUGCAAGUUAUUGGAAAUAUGAUAAAAAAAAUAUUAUUUCUGCCUUGAAAACUGCCAAAUAGCUGACUUUAUUGUUAAAAUUAGUUUUAAAAAAAGAGUGGAUGAAAAUGACUAUUUCUGCAGAAGAAGAAACUAGAGCUAGAGAAGGCUGUGUUUUGAAUAAAGAACAUUUUAUUGGAUUUUUGAAUGUGACACAUUGCAUUGGCAUUGGAAUGAAAGAACCUUUCCUUGAACAGUUAAAAGAAAAGGGAAUCUCACUUAGUGAUUUUGAAAGGUCAAGACUCUGACAAUGGGACAGAUAUGAAAAGCAAAUAUGGUGAAGUUCAGAAGAGAAUUCAGGACCUUAAUAAGUGAGCAUUUUUUGUCCCACAUAGCAUACAUUCUGUGAAUACUCAGUGAGGCUAAGAGUUGUUACAGUGAAGCUCUGAUAUUUUCUGAGGUGGUUCAAAGGGCUUUUGUUUUUGGGUUUUUUUUUUGUUUGUUUUUUUUUUUUUUGCAAUAUCACUGCAGUGCUGGAAUAUACAGCCUGCUUCCAAUGUGAAAUAAAAUGGGAAAGCUGAAGUGAUGUGAUCCAUUGAAGUGAUAUCAGUGCCAAGUUUCAGAAGUCUGUGCUGCUUUAGUUUCAGUUGCUGGUUCAAACCUAAAAGAACCAAAACUUUCCUAGCUAUGCUAUAUCGCUGGCUCACAAUGUCUAUGACUAUAUAUUCUUCUUCAGUGUGGAGCUGUGACAUGCUAUAGACCAGGGGUGUCCAACCUUUAUGAAUGUGGGGCCGGAUCAUGAACUUUUUAUCAUCCAGUGGGCUGGUAAGCCAUAUUCAUAUUUUAUCACCCCGGUGGGCUGUAUGUUGGACAAGCCUGAAAUAAGGCAAAGCUGGCAUAAACCCCCACCUGUGCUCAGCUAGUGACAAACUACAGCAAAUGACGUCCUGGACCAGCCAUCCCAACAGCUGGGGCCCCCCUUCUGCCUACUAUGACCACCACUUGAAGGCAGCCCCAGAAGAUAUUUGACAGCCAUGUUAAAAUAUGUGACCAAACUGAUGUAGCCAGUGCUCUCAUGCAGGCCAAGGGGCCGCCUAUGCCACUGCUUCCCCAGGCCUUGCCCAUACCAGCAACACUGCUGCCUAAAAUCUUGGCAGUGCUUGGGCAGGCACGGCUGGGGCCCAGCCAACACGUGAGAUGGGGGAUAGCCGAACUGUGGGAGUGAAGUCAGUUCCCAGCCUGGCAGGGUCUCGGGCCUGGUCUGCCCAGGGCAGCUCCUGGUGGGAGAAGGCCUCGGGGGAACACGGGCUGCUCUGCUCCUCUGUGCUUCCCUGUGGCGAAGGCAAAUGGCCCCCAGGAGGAUGCAGGCAGCCGCCGUGGCAGGAGAGCAGCACCUGGCCCAGCCGCAGGGGGCGACAAUCCCCCCUCCCCCUGGGCUGCCCCUGAGCAGUGCAGCCCCAUGAGCUGGCGCUGCCCGUAGGAGGCCGGAGCAAGGUGGUCACUGCACCACAGCCCCUCGCUCGCCCACCCACAUGGCCCUGCUCACCAUGGUGCCUGGCUGCCUGCGCAUGCAGCCCUGGUGGCCUCAGCACUGUGAGCCCGGAGCGCGGGGCCCAGCGGACACCGGCUCCCACCACUUUGUCCUGCAGAGGUCACGCCAGGACCCUGCCUGCAGAGGCCCCCCCGGGGCUGCCCUACCAAUUGCCUGUGCUGGGCACUGCGCCCCGUUCCCACCCCAUGGCCGCUGAGCCCGGUGGGUCCUGGGAGGUGGGCAGGAUGCCGGGGGCAAGGGGCCGAGCCGGAGACAACUAAAAGCGGAUGCUGUCCUCAGCUCAUCUUGUCAGGUACAGCUGGGUCAGCCCCACGCUGCACAGCCCUCGGGGUGGCGGUGGGACCCAGCUCACAUGACAUGGGAGGUCACGCGAGCCCAGCCCCGUGGGGGUAAGCAGCUCCCUCCGCUUCUCCACCUGCCUGUCCCGAGCGAGGGACCUCAGGCCACAGAAAAUGGCUUGGCAGGCCGUAUGUUGGACAAGCCUGCUAUAGACUCUGUGCAGUCAACAUCAGAACUAAAAUGCUUGAAGUGGAUAUUGAACAAACCAUGCAUCAGCUAAAAGCCUCAACAGAGUUCCUUGUAAACUACCCUUCUGAUAAGAGAUUCACAAGGGGCUGAUAAGGGACUGAUGCUACAGAACAGACUGAUAAGCUGGAUAUCACACAUGGCUUCCCACAAGGGUGUUAAAAUACAAACCAAAAAGAGAGCGUUUGAUUUUUGAAGCCAGAACCAUUAUGCACCAUUAACAAAUCCAGAAGAUAACCAUAACACGCAUUUUUUGUAUUACAUUUUAGAUGCUGCUGGAUAGACUUGAAGAAGAGAGAUUUUUCCAUGUUGAGAAACACCCUAAGUUUAUCUGGUUUUUGUCUGAUACCUUCAAAAAAUUGAAGAUGACCUACAAAAAGUUAUAGUUAAAUGUUUAGCUUAAUGUUGCAUUAGAAGAUGGACAGCUUGGUGAAGAAACUUAAAAUGCUCUGAUUCUUGCCGAGAUUCUGAGCUUCACUGUAAAGUGGCUGAAAUGUGGAACAUCCCAAAAGUCACAUUGGGAGUUUCUGUGCAAAAGUAACUUUUCCUCUGGUUUCCAAAUAUUUCUGUUGUUCCAAAUGUAUCUAUUCUAAUUGACUUUGCUUUCAUCUGUUGCAAGCCAGAAAUUUGUUUUUUGGAAAUUUAAGCCUACAAAGUCUUAUUUAUAUUUUAGCAUGGCUCAGUCUCAGUUGGCUAGAUCCUGUUUUCAUUUCAGUUGAAAGCUAAAUUUCAGUGUGUAUUGAUAUGAAAGGUACCAUCCACAAGUUCAUGUGCAUUUAAGCAAAAAAGUAAAAGUCCAAUGUUUUUGUGAUAAAAAGGCUUGAAAGGCUUGGUCAUCAGUAUGAUUUUGAAGUUCUUCACUUUGCUUCAUGCAUGCUUUAUUUGCAUUACUUGCUAUGAAUUUAACUUAUUUAUAUGGUCUUAGAAAGCUAGGAAGUUAAUGGAGUGAGUGACAAAGAGUACUUUUGCCUACCCUGGAAAAUAGGCUAAAGCUGGCACAGGUCACUGCAAAAGAAGAGACCCAUUAGAACUAUUGCAUUAUAUUGCAAUAGUAUUGCAACAAUUGUAUGGCAUUGUAAGGGUAUGUACAAGCAUUGCAUUUUGGUCCUCUAACUGAGCGUAGGGGAAUCUAAGCGGCUGAGUGUGUAAGUGACAUGCCUGAUCUAAAGUUAGUUUACCUCAGAGGUGAACUAAUUUUGAUAUCAACCUGGGUUACCCCAGUCUAAAAUGGGUUAAUCCAGACUAAUGAAUGCCUGUUUGUGGUCAAAGCACAGCCCCAAGGCUGGGAAAGCCCAGCCACUCACUACAGUGCUUGAGUUGUGCUGUUUUAACCUCCCCCUGUCUCCUUUAACUACCCUCGCUGAACUGCCAGUCCACCGCCACUCCCACCCUUCAGACCCUUUUGCCCCCCCUGCCCCUCCACCUGCUCUCCAACUGCUUUCAUGAAUGCCCAUACACAGCAGAACCUGACUUAGGUUUAGGCAGCUCAAAGUAAGCUGCCCAAUGUGAGUCAGGUCAUUUUAUAGAUUUGUAGAUUCAUAGAUUUUGAGGCUGGAAGGGACCUCAGAAGAUCAUUGGGUCCAGCCCCCUGCACCAUUUUAAUGCUUUUGAAUGCUUAUUCAACCUUUUGAAUGCUUGUUCAUGCCCUAAGGCUGGGGACAGACAUUAUACAUAAAUCGGCUUAAGUGAUCAGAAACUGGUUUAAGCCUGUAACAGAACAGAUGUUCAGUGCACAUAAACUAGUUUGAAAAUGGCUGAAACUGGUUUGAGCUAAACCUGGUUGAAUGUAGUAUCAGACUUAACUGAUUUGGGUCAAACCAGUUUAUGCAAUGUCUGUGACAGACUCCUUCCUGGUUUAAGUUUAAUCAGAGUCCCUCAGCAUCCCGGCACGCUUUGCUGGGCAGGGCUCUGCUCUCUGCUGCAGCCCAGCAGGGCUGGCCCCUCCCCCCUACUUCCUGGCUGCAUCUCUGGCAGAGACUGCAGACACAGCAGGGUCUGCCUAGCUCACCCGCUCCCCACCCUCCCCACUCCCUGUUCAAGCAGGGAUCCCCCCUCCCCUCUGCCUUACACAGACACCUCUCAGCAUUAGCUAGCAUACCACAUGCUGGCUACGGUCUGUGCUGUGGAAGAGGGACAGGACAGUCCUGGUUUAGGGCUUUUUAGUGCUAAUUAACAGAUAGCUAGUAAUGUCCCUCUGUUCCUUUCUUGGAAAACCUGUUUAAGAACAGUGUGAAUUUAUGGUGAGAGGCUGCUGUUUUCUUAAUGGGCUGAUAAACACUGUGUUAGGGGUGAUAAAUGCUGUAUUAUCAACUCCCUCUUGUGCUUGUCAGGGGCAGGGAGGGCGGGAACCCCCCUCCCUAAUGAGAGCAUCCUGCUGGGGCCUGGCCAAACCCCUCAGCUCAGCAUUGUAGAAGGGAAGGGAGGGCUGCUCUAGUGUCCCCCAGCUUCUAGCUUGAGCCACUGCAGGCAUGUACCUGCAUUUCUUCAGAGGGGAUGUCUGUACAGUUACAAACCAGUUCAGUGUAGCCAGGUUAGACUAACCUGCAAAGAUUGAAUCAAUUCAGGUUCAGGUUUUUUGAAUGUCUAUCCCUAGCCUAACUGUGAGGGAAUUUUUAAACAACUUCUAAGAACAAUGACAAUUUAUCUUCCUCUCAGCUGUUUUUUCUUUGAAAUGCUCUGAAAUCCGAAAAGGGCCUAGAUCAAGGUAAAGGGUCACUUAAACCAGGAGGACAAAAAGUGUUAAAUUACAGUUUGUACGCGAGUGAUAGCACUUCUUUAGUCACAUGUAAAGUGUGUGUGUUUAUGAUUUAAUGUCUCUUUACACUACAUCUUCAAAGUGGGCAAAUGUUGAUUAAUCCUUACAGCAUCCAUGUGAGGGAUGUAAUAAUAAGUGAUAGUUUUAUUUUCAAGCUGGGGAAACUGAGGCAGAGAAAUAAAAUGAUCUGUUCGUUGAUCUGUCCUACCAUUACGUAGUAGAGCCAUAACUGGAGCUCAGAGCUGGCUGCUGACAGACAUGAAACUCCUCCCUCCCUCCCUCCCCCUCCGCCUCCCCUUCCCCCCAGCACUUUACUGGAAGCAGCAGUGCAUUAGUUUGACCCAGCUCCACAAUGUCUGUAUAGUUCAGGCACUUCAGUGGGGAUUUUUGGCACUUUUAUCUAAAACUGAUUCAGUCAGCUAUCAGAUAAGUGCUGAAAGAGCCCCACUAAAGCACCCAAUUUAUACAGAUGUUGGACUAACAUCAUGCUUUUUUGGGCAUGCACUGGACUUGGCAUGGCAGUGUGCUGAGUUUAAAGUCCCACUUUUUUUUUUUCCAUGUCUGCAAGCAUAUGUUUUUAAGAUGAGCUAACUUCUACAGAUGCAAUUAAAGAUCUCAAGUACAGCAUUACACCUAGUGUUGGUGCAGUGAGAUACAAACCAGUUGUGGGUGCUAUGCACACUUUUUUUUUUUUUCAGUGACAUCAUCUGGGAUUAGCAACCAGAGCUACCAGCUAUCUAGGUUAAUUUGCAGAAAUAGUAGUUUUGGGAGAAAUAGCUGUAAGUGUUGUAGAAAAAAAGCAAGUGCAGUAUCAUUGGCGAUUCGUAGGGGGUGCAUGCGGGGGCACAUGCACCCCCUGAGAUUGGUAGCGCAUCCCCUGCGAAAAGCACUGCUGAUGCUGCUGGCGGCGCCUGUGAGCAGUCGCUACUUGCCAUACCCCCCCCCCCCACCGUUGACACCACUGACGGCAUCUGUGGGUCCCUGAUUGGUGCCGGCAGUGUCUGCGGGUGGUUACCAACUGCUGGUUGGGACUCGCCACCCUCUGUCCCCACUGUGGCUACCUGUAGGCAGUCGCCAUGCUCCCCCAGCCUCCAGGAACAUGCAGUGUUCAUGUGCAGUAUGAUUUCUGCUUCUCUACAGAAGUGUGCAUAUGCCUGUGUGUAUGUUUGGAAUAGAGAAAUCAAGACAGGUGAUGUGAAAAUGUAUGUCUUGCCUUCAGACAGAAGAUAGUUGGUUUCGCUACGCUGGCUUCUAAUGGCAGUCUCUUCACAGGAUACUUCAAAAGUGAUGGAUUGAGGCAUACGUAUAACGACCUGUUCAAGUCAGAAAUUGAGAUGGUCUCAGAGAUAGGUGCCGAGCAAAUCUAUAGAGUGAGACACAUAAAUGUGUUCAAGAGUGUUGCCAGCUGCUCUGUGUGUGUGUGUGUGUGUGUGUGUGUUCGUGUUCAAGACUGCGCAUUUUCUCAGGAUUAAUAGUUUGAGGUAUUUCCUUAAUUUAUUACUGUCAGGAAUAAUGUUCACUCUGUUUCCAUUUUAGCAGGGCACCCAUACAACCUUUAAAAUGCACAAAUAAAAUGAAGUCUGCAUACGGUCUGUGGUUCAUGCAGCAGCUGUUCUCAUGACAACAUAUUUUAUCUACGUACAUUUAAUCAGCUGCUCCUAAGAAACCGUCCCAAUCCAUCAAAAUAUUUGUAAAUUGAUUUGGUUUCCAGCACAGGAAUUUGCUUUUGCUAGCACAAUUAAGAGACAGGGAAGACUUAUGUCCAGUGGGGGGAGGGGAAAAACAAAAACAAGACCCCCAACGUAUUUUCUAUUCCAGGUUGAAUAGCUCAAAGUCCUUGGGCAUUUGCCAUGAUGAUUGUGUGAAGCUGGUGUUUUUGCUUAGCAGCCGCCUCGUUUCUGAAAAGAGAUGUUUCAUUUCAGCAGGCAGAUUUCUCCACUGACAUUCAAACCAGCAAGCAGACUGGGGAGGCCAGAUGUUCUAGUGGAUAGGAAACUAGUCCAGGGCCCUGUGAGACCUGAACUCUAUUCUUGUCUCUGCUACUGAGUUGGGAUAGAGCUGUGCUGUGUGCAAAUCUUAUUGCCUUUCUUCCCUCCUGUAAAAUGGGGUUAAUAUUAAAAGAGAGAUAAGUAACCACGUUUGUCUGAAGUUAGGCAGAAGACAGGGCAGGGUGGCACCUUAUUGACUAUCUCAUUCAGAGCGGCACAAGCAAUUAUAAGCUACAGCCUGCUUUUUCAGAUGAUAUGGUAUUCACCUCUGUUGUAAAACAAUUUUCGGCUGGCGGAUGCAAAAGGCCUUUUAUUAUUGACAUAACGUUGAAUGGUCCUCCAGGUCAAUUCUUUGUUAAAGUGUCAAUGUCUAGAAUUCUCUUGCUUUGACAAAAGCCUUUUGCAACUGUCCAAGCAUGUAUAGGGGAGAGGUCUUCCCUCCUAUACUCAGAGUACUCAGUACUCUGCUUAAACCAUGCGUGAAGUCUCAUAAGGCCACCAGUGCCUCAUUACAUACUCUAAGGAUUGGGGAGCAGCACUCCAAGCUGAAGUGAUCACUGUGUAGAGGAAGCGUAUACUGCAUUCUUUGAAAGGUGACCUGGGGCCUCUGUUCUUGGUCUUCCUGGAGCCCACUAUACUUGUUUCAAGCACUGUACCUCCAGAAUCUUCCCCUCUUUUCUCACCAUGCCUGUCCCUCAACCAUGCCUGAGAGGCACAGUGCAGUCCUUAGUAUUUUAAUCUUUUAGGAUUAAAGGUAAUAAAUAAUUAAAAUCAAUUAAAAUAAGUUCAUUUUAAACCUAAUAAUUUAAUAAUGAUCUAGUAAGAUAAUAUAAUUAAGGAAUAUUAUUAUUGUCUCACAACCUCCAGUUGGGCUUGGACGCCAAAGAAGGCACACGUGUGUGUCAGCACACGUGAGCCCUCACCCCCCCUUCCCCUCCCCUCCCCUCCCCUCCCCAUCCUGACCACACCGAGUGGAGCAGCGAGCAAGGAGCCGACAGCUGAAUCAAAGUAAGCCAGGCAGGGCAGGGGGGAAGAGGGAGGAGCCGGGCCAGCUGUAGGGAAUCGGAAAGGGAUUUUUCUCCCCUCCUGUCCCUAUUUAGCCACACUGGGUGGGAGCCGCACUCCUUUGUCAUGCAAACAGGCCCCGCAAGCAGGCGCGCUCUUCAGGGGCAUGCUGGAGUUUCUGCAGGAGUUUGUGUAGGGGGGAGAGCAGGAGGGGCCUGAGACUCUAUGUGUUAGAGUCAGUGGCUUCAGACAGAGUCUCCAGAGUCUUCAGUUGAGUGCACGUGAGGGAGUCUUAAUGGGGGUGGUGACUCGGAGUGCAGCCAGGGACCCUGCUUCAAUACUGCCUCCCUCCAGGUGCUCCUCUGAGGCCUCCACCCAGACAGAGCCUUUGGGUGGGUCAGUGGCACCCGGGCCCCCUGCCUGCAGGAGUUGCCUGGCAGGUUCUCGGAGGCCCGGGGCAGCGGGAUGGCUGGGAGUCCCCUCACCUGUCUGUGUGCCCAGGUUGAGGCCCUGGAGGGGCAGGUGAGGGAACUCUAGGCAGAGGUUAGCAGGCUGCAUGGGAUCAGAGCUAUUGAGGAUGAGAUUGAUGGGUACUUCUACUCUUUGCAGGAUUGCUCAUAUGGCAGGAUGGCAACACAAGGAGGACUUGACACGGCAAGAUGGAAGACGGUCACCUCUAGUUCUAGAUGAUGCAGAAUUAGACCCCGCAUUGCUGGAACAACUCCUCCAGUGCAGCUGGGGAACUGAUUUGGGGCCCUGGCAUCACUGGGAGUGAGUGCAGCAAUGGAGGCCAUACCCACAACUACCACCAAGCAGGCUGGGAGGCAACAGAGCAACUGGAGGAGAAGACAUCGGGCCACGGUCCAAAGAGGCAAGAAUGCACUGAUGAGGUGAACCGGUAUCUCCGACAGUGGUACCAUCAAGAAGGCUUUGGCUUCUAUGACCACGGUGCCCACUUCAAGGACAGAGGACUCCUGGGGAGAGAUGGCAUCCACCUCACGUGGAAAGGGGGGAAACAUGUAUGAGUGGGAGAAUAAACUGCUUGGCAAGUUCCAUGAUACUGGAGAUUGUAUUCAAGGAUGUCAAAAAAGAUGAUGGUGGCCCAGACAAGUAAGCUCUGUGACAGUCUACAAAAAGAGGUUCUUCACCCUUACAAUUCAGAGUCUUGCAGCAGCAGCAUGGAAAGGAACUUUAAUGAUGUUUUCCAACUGCUGAACAACAGAAUACAAACAGUUAAGUUGUAUACUGCUUCUUUAUACAAAAAGAACCUUUCAUUUCACUGCUGUUUAAACUAUGAAUGAAAAAUGUCAACUAAAAAUGAAAAUGGUAGGUGAUUUCCAACUGCUUCAUAGAGAGUGGUUGAAUACUCAAACCUGAGGUCUCCAGAUAUUAUUGCAGUUUAGGAUGAAUGGAAAUAGUAUAUACUGGCUAGAUAUGAAAAUCACUGGAAGUUAUUUUCCAAGUUCUUUUAUUAAUGAAUUUUUAAUUAAAAGUUAUAGGAUCAAAUACUGUUUACUUGAUUGA
Molecule: long non-coding RNA, 10827 nt
Organism: Alligator mississippiensis (American alligator)
Lineage: Eukaryota; Metazoa; Chordata; Crocodylia; Alligatoridae
Exons: 4
Source: RefSeq, a predicted model, not a curated record